RNAcentral lists this ribosomal RNA (276 nucleotides) under uncultured bacterium. RNAcentral describes it as "partial 16S ribosomal RNA". It matches the Rfam family "Bacterial small subunit ribosomal RNA", at positions 79 to 353 of the family's 1533-position model. The record is from RNAcentral.
CUAAGUUUGAUGGCGACCGGCGCACGGGUGAGUAACACGUAUCCAACCUGCCGAUGACUCGGGGGAUAGCCUUUCGAAAGAAAGAUUAAUACCCGAUGGCAUAGUUCUUCCGCAUGGUAGAACUAUUAAAGAAUUUCGGUCAUCGAUGGGGAUGCGUUCCAUUAGGUUGUUGGCGGGGUAACGGCCCACCAAGCCUUCGAUGGAUAGGGGUUCUGAGAGGAAGGUCCCCCACAUUGGAACUGAGACACGGUCCAAACUCCUACGGGAGGCAGCAUG